RNAcentral lists this transfer RNA (72 nucleotides) under Cytophagaceae bacterium. RNAcentral's name for it is "tRNA-Arg". It matches the Rfam family "tRNA". From Rfam's summary of the family: Transfer RNA (tRNA) molecules are approximately 80 nucleotides in length. The record is from RNAcentral. Lineage: Bacteria; Pseudomonadati; Bacteroidota; Cytophagia; Cytophagales; Cytophagaceae.
GGUCCCGUCGUACAACGGAUAGUAUGUGAGUUUCCGGAACUCAAGAUCGUGGUUCGAUUCCACGCGGGACCA